RNAcentral lists this long non-coding RNA (296 nucleotides) under Piliocolobus tephrosceles (Ugandan red Colobus). Its description in RNAcentral is "lncRNA (ENSPTEG00000021424.1)". The record is from RNAcentral. Lineage: Eukaryota; Metazoa; Chordata; Mammalia; Primates; Cercopithecidae.
AUGUUUUGGAGCCUACCUCCUGCAGUUCCGCCCCUGUCUCCACUUCAUGUCUCUAAAGAAAAAGAAAAAAGAAAAGAAAAAGAAAAAUAUAAUAAGAGGAAAGAAAGGACAAAGCAAGAGAAGUUCAUGUCGACUUGGUACAGAAGUCAUAUCCCUUGGGUGGUUCCAAUGGAAAAACUUGAUGUGUGCUCUGAAGUGAUGUUACUCAUCCAUUGCAUAACCAUCACCUAUAUCAAAGGAGAGCCUUUAUGUACUGGCUAAUACAGUGUGUUAAAUUCACCCCAAACGAACUGGAU